UUACUCCUACGGGAGGCAGCAGUGGGGAAUUUUGGACAAUGGGCGCAAGCCUGAUCCAGCAAUGCCGCGUGUGUGAAGAAGGCCUUCGGGUUGUAAAGCACUUUUGUCCGGAAAGAAAACCUCGUGGUUAAUACCCGUGGGGGAUGACGGUACCGGAAGAAUAAGCACCGGCUAACUACGUGCCAGCAGCCGCGGUAAUACGUAGGGUGCAAGCGUUAAUCGGAAUUACUGGGCGUAAAGCGUGCGCAGGCGGUUCGCUAAGACAGAUGUGAAAUCCCCGGGCUUAACCUGGGAACUGCAUUUGUGACUGGCGGGCUAGAGUAUGGCAGAGGGGGGUAGAAUUCCACGUGUAGCAGUGAAAUGCGUAGAGAUGUGGAGGAAUACCGAUGGCGAAGGCAGCCCCCUGGGCCAAUACUGACGCUCAUGCACGAAGCUACCGUAACUUCC
RNAcentral lists this ribosomal RNA (447 nucleotides) under Paraburkholderia sp. Its description in RNAcentral is "bacterial SSU rRNA". It matches the Rfam family "Bacterial small subunit ribosomal RNA", at positions 333 to 773 of the family's 1533-position model. Lineage: Bacteria; Pseudomonadati; Pseudomonadota; Betaproteobacteria; Burkholderiales; Burkholderiaceae. The record is from RNAcentral.